Molecule: ribosomal RNA, 180 nt
Filed under: uncultured bacterium
Lineage: Bacteria
Description: partial 16S ribosomal RNA
Rfam family: Bacterial small subunit ribosomal RNA
Source: RNAcentral
AUGAAGUCGGAAUUGCUAGUAAUGGCAGGUCAGCAUACUGCCGUGAAUACGUUCCCGGGCCUUGUACACACCGCCCGUCACACCAUGAGAGUUGGGAAUACCCGAGGCCUGUGAGCUAACUUUUAGAGGCAGCAGUCGAAGGUAGAAUCAAUGAUUGGGGUGAAGUCGUAACAAGGUAGC